RNAcentral lists this transfer RNA (72 nucleotides) under Aedes aegypti (yellow fever mosquito). It matches the Rfam family "tRNA". From Rfam's summary of the family: Transfer RNA (tRNA) molecules are approximately 80 nucleotides in length. The record is from Rfam by way of RNAcentral. Lineage: Eukaryota; Metazoa; Arthropoda; Insecta; Diptera; Culicidae.
GGCUCGGUAGCUUAGAUGAUAAAACACUCGUCUAUCAUACCAGAGUCCUGGGUCCGAAUCCCAGCUAAGCAC